Molecule: ribosomal RNA, 253 nt
Filed under: uncultured bacterium
Lineage: Bacteria
Description: partial 16S ribosomal RNA
Rfam family: Bacterial small subunit ribosomal RNA
Source: RNAcentral
GACGUAGGGCGCGAGCGUUGUCCGGAUUUAUUGGGCGUAAAGAGCUCGUAGGCGGCUUGUCGCGUCGACUGUGAAAACCCGCGGCUCAACCGAGGACGUGCAUCCAAAACUGCUGGGCUUGAGUACUGAAGAGGAUCGCGGAAUUCCCGGUGUAGAGGUGAAAUUCGUAGAUAUCGGGAGGAACACCAGUGGCGAAGGCGGCGAUCUGGGCAGAUACUGACGCUGAGGUGCGAAAGCGUGGGGAGCGAACAGG